UACGGAGGAUGCGAGCGUUAUCCGGAUUUAUUGGGUUUAAAGGGUGCGUAGGCGGAUCAAUAAGUCAGUGGUGAAAUUCUGCAGCUUAACUGUAGACUUGCCAUUGAUACUGUUGGUCUUGAGUAUGGUCAAGGUAGGCGGAAUGUGUAAUGUAGCGGUGAAAUGCUUAGAUAUUACACAGAACACCGAUUGCGAAGGCAGCUUGCUGGGCCAAUACUGACGCUCAGGCACGAAAGCGUGGGGAUCGAACAGG
RNAcentral lists this ribosomal RNA (253 nucleotides) under uncultured bacterium. RNAcentral describes it as "partial 16S ribosomal RNA". It matches the Rfam family "Bacterial small subunit ribosomal RNA", at positions 524 to 776 of the family's 1533-position model. The record is from RNAcentral.